Molecule: ribosomal RNA, 253 nt
Filed under: uncultured bacterium
Lineage: Bacteria
Description: partial 16S ribosomal RNA
Rfam family: Bacterial small subunit ribosomal RNA
Source: RNAcentral
UACGUAGGGUGCAAGCGUUGUCCGGAAUUAUUGGGCGUAAAGAGCUCGUAGGCGGUUUGUCGCGUCUGCUGUGAAAACCCGAGGCUCAACCUCGGGCCUGCAGUGGGUACGGGCAGACUAGAGUGCGGUAGGGGAGAUUGGAAUUCCUGGUGUAGCGGUGGAAUGCGCAGAUAUCAGGAGGAACACCGAUGGGGAAGGCAGAUCUCUGGGCCGUAACUGAAGCUGAGGAGCGAAAGCGUGGGGAGCGAACAGG